AUCUGUUUAGUAUAUGAGUAUUUUUGACUUCCAAUCAAAAGGUUUGGGUAUCCCAAAACAGAUA
This 64-nucleotide transfer RNA is filed under the name Cinygmina sp. 1 YW01BF06. RNAcentral describes it as "tRNA-Gly". It matches the Rfam family "tRNA". From Rfam's summary of the family: Transfer RNA (tRNA) molecules are approximately 80 nucleotides in length. Their secondary structure includes four short double-helical elements and three loops (D, anti-codon, and T loops). The record is from RNAcentral. Lineage: Eukaryota; Metazoa; Arthropoda; Insecta; Ephemeroptera; Heptageniidae.